Long non-coding RNA from Xenia sp. Carnegie-2017, 183 nucleotides. RefSeq lists it as uncharacterized. The transcript has 3 exons. NCBI's taxonomy places the organism in Eukaryota, Metazoa, Cnidaria, Anthozoa, Malacalcyonacea, Xeniidae. The record is from RefSeq and is a predicted model, not a curated record.
AGAGAAGUUCAAUAUGUCGUUCUUAGCAAUAUAGCAACAUUAUCAUCGACAAGGAAGGGAAUGUUUGAAGCGCAUCUGAAAAGUUUCUUCGUUCAUUCCAACGACUCAAAAUAUAUCAAAACAUUUAAGCUUGAAAUAAUGACGAACAUCGCUUCGGAAAGUAAUAUAACGCUACUAUUGCGG